RNAcentral lists this ribosomal RNA (253 nucleotides) under uncultured bacterium. RNAcentral describes it as "partial 16S ribosomal RNA". It matches the Rfam family "Bacterial small subunit ribosomal RNA", at positions 524 to 776 of the family's 1533-position model. The record is from RNAcentral.
UACGUAGGGUGCGAGCGUUGUCCGGAAUUACUGGGCGUAAAGAGCUCGUAGGUGGUUUGUCGCGUUGUUCGUGAAAACCGGGGGCUUAACCCUCGGCGUGCGGGCGAUACGGGCAGACUUGAGUACUGCAGGGGAGACUGGAAUUCCUGGUGUAGCGGUGGAAUGCGCAGAUAUCAGGAGGAACACCGGUGGCGAAGGCGGGUCUCUGGGCAGUAACUGACGCUGAGGAGCGAAAGUGUGGGGAGCGAACAGG